CUCUUGGUGGCCAAGCUGGCUAAGGCGCGAGACUGUAAUAAUCUUGAGAUCGGGUGUUCGACUCACCCCCAGGAGA
Molecule: transfer RNA, 76 nt
Filed under: Dujonia railenensis
Lineage: Eukaryota; Fungi; Ascomycota; Pichiomycetes; Serinales; Debaryomycetaceae
Also listed under: 2 other names
Description: [Candida] railenensis transfer RNA-Tyr(GTA)
Rfam family: tRNA
About the family: Transfer RNA (tRNA) molecules are approximately 80 nucleotides in length.
Source: RNAcentral